RNAcentral lists this ribosomal RNA (406 nucleotides) under uncultured bacterium. Its description in RNAcentral is "partial 16S ribosomal RNA". It matches the Rfam family "Bacterial small subunit ribosomal RNA", at positions 29 to 526 of the family's 1533-position model. The record is from RNAcentral.
AUUGAACGCUGGCGGCAGGCCUAACACAUGCAAGUCGAACGAGUGGCGGACGGGUGAGUAAUGUCUGGGAAACUGCCUGAUGGGGGGGGAUAACUACUGGAAACGGUAGCUAAUACCGCAUACCAUCGGAUGUGCACAGAUGGGAUUGGCUAGUAGGUGGGGUAAAGGCUCACCUAGGCGACGAACCCUAGCUGGUCUGAGAGGAUGACCAGCAAAACGGGAACUGGUACACGGCCCAGACUCCUACGGGAGGCGGAAGUGGGGAAUAUUGCACAAGGGGCGAAAGCCUGAUGCAGACAUGCCGCGUGUAGGAAGAAGGCCUGCGGGUUGUAAAGUACUUUCAGCGGGGAGGCGGUACCCGCAGAAGAAGCACCGGCUAACUCCGUGCCAGCAGCCGCGGUAAUAC